Molecule: ribosomal RNA, 448 nt
Filed under: uncultured bacterium
Lineage: Bacteria
Description: bacterial SSU rRNA
Rfam family: Bacterial small subunit ribosomal RNA
Source: RNAcentral
AGCCAGACUCCUACGGGAGGCAGCAGUGGGGAAUAUUGCACAAUGGGGGAAACCCUGAUGCAGCGACGCCGCGUGAGCGAAGAAGUAUCUCGGUAUGUAAAGCUCUAUCAGCAGGGAAGAUAAUGACGGUACCUGACUAAGAAGCCCCGGCUAACUACGUGCCAGCAGCCGCGGUAAUACGUAGGGGGCAAGCGUUAUCCGGAUUUACUGGGUGUAAAGGGUGCGUAGGUGGCAUGGCAAGUCAGAAGUGAAAGCCCGGGGCUCAACCCCGCGGACUGCUUUUGAAACUGUCAGGCUGGAGUACAGGAGAGGUAAGCGGAAUUCCUAGUGUAGCGGUGAAAUGCGUAGAUAUUAGGAGGAACACCAGUGGCGAAGGCGGCUUACUGGACUGUAACUGACGUUGAGGCUCGAAAGCGUGGGGAGCAAACAGGAUUAGAUACCCGGGUAU